CAGGAACUGGCAGAUCCGAGAGAGACCCUGGUGGCUUGCAGGGGUGCCGGGCGAGGCUGUGCUGACCGGGGACGCCGGGGAAGUGCUGAGCUUGCUGUUCUGAAAUCAGUCCUGGGAAGAGCAGCCAGAUGACUCCCGGGACUCGCACUGGUGGGACCCUGACAGACUGAAGGAACUGGACCUUUUUGGUCUUGAACAGAGAAGAAGAGAAGACAACAAGUAUUCAAAAUCCUCGAGGACACAAAUGGAAACGGUGUGGAAGUUCACUUAAUAUCUGAAAAACAGGAGGCACAUCUUUGCCCUGAGGGUUGUGGGAGUGCAGAAUAAGCUACACAGCCAUGUGGCUGUAGGCGAUACUUCUUUGCUCCCUUCAAGAAACAGCUGGAUGAGAUCUCUGGAUCCAUUAACUACCAAGUACCAGAUGGGCUGGCAGAGCUGACCGGCCCCCUUCCAUUCAUAACCUUUUGUACAUUCUGGACCUCGGAGGGGUUCUGCUAUUGCUCAUCCUGUACUGGAGCUCAUUUGGAUCAAAGGCCAUCUCAUCAAACAACUGUAGUCAGGAAUCUCCAGACCUGGUAGUGCAGUAAUGGCUAUAUACAGUACGACUUUAGCAACAAAAACAAUGUCUGCACCCAUUCUUUUCGGAAGAAGGGAUGACAACAGCCCGGUUUAAUCAGACUCAGCUGUCAUUAAUUUGCACUCACAGCUGUCGUCAUUUCCUCUCCAAAAACACUGCAAAUACUGUAGGUGAUCCCCCUUCUCUCCCUCCCACACGUCUUUUUCAAUCCCAUCUCCACUUCUACAGCCCUCUCGGCCUUUUGCCCAAGAUCGUGUGGGGAGUGUCAUGUGUGUCUCCCCCUCUGCAGCUGCCCCCAGGUCACUCCUCACUCUGCAGGGGGUCCCAGCCUCCUCCUCCUCCUCCUGCUGCUCUGGCCAGGAGGUCUGCCCUCAGCCAAGCGGGUUAAGCCAGAUUUCGACUGAAACAUUCCGUAAUCCUUUCAGAACGCUUCAUUCUUGGGUGUUGUUAUUUCUAGUAAAUUGGCCACUGCUUUCACCAGUGUAGCGGGGUAGUCUGCACCCUCUGAACACAGCUGGGUAACAGCCCUUCCCCAGUUUAGACCGUCACAUUAAGCAUAAAAGAAGGCAUUCAAUGGAAAACUGAAUGUAUCCAAUGAAUAAAAUCACUGGUGGGGACUACAUUAUUAUUAUUUUUUUUUUUUAAUGGGUCAGAAAAAUCUAAAACAUUCUGAACAGGUGAACGUGCAUUUGCGAACAUAUCAAAUCAAACAGAAACAGAACUGAAACAAUAAAAAACAAAUGCAAAAUUAAUAAAAAUGAUUUUUUGUGUCA
Long non-coding RNA from Lepisosteus oculatus (spotted gar), 1350 nucleotides. RefSeq lists it as uncharacterized. The record is from RefSeq and is a predicted model, not a curated record. NCBI's taxonomy places the organism in Eukaryota, Metazoa, Chordata, Actinopteri, Semionotiformes, Lepisosteidae.